UACGUAGGGUGCAAGCGUUAAUCGGAAUUACUGGGCGUAAAGAGCGCGCAGGCGGUCGUUCAAGUCGAGUGUGAAAGCCCCCGGCUCAACUGGGGAGGGUCACUCGAUACUGAUCGACUUGAAGGCAGGAGAGGGAAGCGGAAUUCCCGGUGUAGUGGUGAAAUGCGUAGAUAUCGGGAGGAACACCAGUGGCGAAGGCGGCUUCCUGGCCUGUUCUUGACGCUGAGGUGCGAAAGCUAGGGGAGCGAACGGG
RNAcentral lists this ribosomal RNA (253 nucleotides) under uncultured bacterium. Its description in RNAcentral is "partial 16S ribosomal RNA". It matches the Rfam family "Bacterial small subunit ribosomal RNA", at positions 524 to 776 of the family's 1533-position model. The record is from RNAcentral.